This 449-nucleotide ribosomal RNA is filed under the name uncultured bacterium. Its description in RNAcentral is "bacterial SSU rRNA". It matches the Rfam family "Bacterial small subunit ribosomal RNA", at positions 28 to 524 of the family's 1533-position model. The record is from RNAcentral.
GACGAACGCUGGCGGCAGGCUUAACACAUGCAAGUCGAGCGGGCGUAGCAAUACGUCAGCGGCAGACGGGUGAGUAACGCGUGGGAACGUACCUUUUGGUUCGGAACAACACAGGGAAACUUGUGCUAAUACCGGAUAAGCCCUUACGGGGAAAGAUUUAUCGCCGAAAGAUCGGCCCGCGUCUGAUUAGCUAGUUGGUGAGGUAACGGCUCACCAAGGCGACGAUCAGUAGCUGGUCUGAGAGGAUGAUCAGCCACAUUGGGACUGAGACACGGCCCAGACUCCUACGGGAGGCAGCAGUGGGGAAUCUUGCGCAAUGGGCGAAAGCCUGACGCAGCCAUGCCGCGUGAAUGAUGAAGGUCUUAGGAUUGUAAAAUUCUUUCAGCGGGGACGAUAAUGACGUACCGCAGAAGAAGCCCCGCUAACUUCGUGCCAGCCGCCGCGGUAAC